CUCUUGAGUCUGUUAAUUUCUACACCAAGAUCACAAAACCUUCUCCUGCGAUUGCGAGAUCAGAGUCAUUUGAUAAAAAUCCGUAACAAUUUUGGCAACCACAAAGGGACCUUGUGCUCAGGAUUGGACAGACCAGCUCUAGAAUCUCCAGGAACCAGGUGCCCAAGCGCGCUCAAAGGAAAACUGUCCCUUCCAGGUCCUUCUCACCACGUCCUUGGCAAUACGCAUUGCCGAGCGGUCGUAGUGGAUUAAUCACUCGCAAGUCAAGCCAGAGGUCGUGGAUGGUUCUCCGGGCAAGGGACCUGCAGACGGUGGAAAUGACCCAGCGGAGAAUCAACAACCCCACACUCCAAUUCCUGCUCUACGUCUCAGAUGGUGCUCGACUGGAUGGACGAUCUCAUGAGACUCAGGCCUUUGGCCACCAUUAUCAGAGUGAUCUGUGACCCUGCGGUGGUUAGCACACCUAGAAUCAAAGGGGGGUAUUGUACUGGACGAUUUACCAUCCUGUCUCUGUUCUGUCUCCUUCCCAUAUUGUACUAGGCAAUUGAGCAUCUUGUCUCCAUUCUAUCUCCUUCCAAUAUUGUGCUAGACAUCCUGUCUCCAUUUAUCCAUUUAUCCCACGGUGUUGAGAAUCUCCAUUUAUUUAUCUCCUUCCUGUUCCUGAUCAGUUAAAUUUGGGUAACUAUAUGUCAAUUACAUUACCUUAUAAGGACCACUCGUAAGAACUGGUUCUGAAUGGAGGGUGGAGUUCCGGGCAACGCAAGGGGAUUGAGUGGGAUUUGGGGUACACACUGGAAGAGUUGCGGUUGAGUGGAAUGCGGAAAUGCUUGCAAAUAAAGGUACUGGGUUCGGGA
Ornithorhynchus anatinus (platypus) is the source of this 854-nucleotide long non-coding RNA. RefSeq lists it as uncharacterized. The transcript has 2 exons. The record is from RefSeq and is a predicted model, not a curated record. Lineage: Eukaryota; Metazoa; Chordata; Mammalia; Monotremata; Ornithorhynchidae.